Trametes coccinea BRFM310 is the source of this 83-nucleotide non-coding RNA. Lineage: Eukaryota; Fungi; Basidiomycota; Agaricomycetes; Polyporales; Polyporaceae. The record is from the annotation of a GenBank genome assembly.
GGCCGACUAGCUCAGUUGGUUAGAGCGUGGUGCUAAUACCUAAUGGUACGCCAAGGUCGUCGGUUCGAUCCCGGCGUUGGCCA